UCGACGGUGACGACAGGGCUUGCUCUGUCUGAUCAGUGGCGAACGGGUGAGUAACACGUGAGUAACCUGCCCCCGACUCUGGAAUAACCGUGGGAAACGACGGCUAAUACCGGAUAUGAGACGCACGGGCAUCUGUGUGUCUGGAAAGAUUUAUCGGUCAGGGAUGGACUCGCGGCCUAUCAGCUUGUUGGUGGGGUAAUGGCCUACCAAGGCGACGACGGGUAGCCGGCCUGAGAGGGCGACCGGCCACACUGGGACUGAGAUACGGCCCAGACUCCUACGGGAGGCAGCAGUGGGGAAUAUUGCACAAUGGGCGCAAGCCUGAUGCAGCGACGCCGCGUGAGGGAUGAAGGCCUUCGGGUUGUAAACCUCUUUCAGCAGGGAAGAAGCGAAAGUGACGGUACCUGCAGAAGAAGCGCCGGCUAACUACGUGCCAGCAGCCGCGGUAAUACGUAGGGCGCAAGCGUUGUCCGGAAUUAUUGGGCGUAAAGAGCUCGUAGGCGGUUUGUCGCGUCUGCUGUGAAAACCUGAGGCUCAACCUCGGGCUUGCAGUGGGUACGGGCAGACUAGAGUGCGGUAGGGGUGACUGGAAUUCCUGGUGUAGCGGUGGAAUGCGCAGAUAUCAGGAGGAACACCGAUGGCGAAGGCAGGUCACUGGGCCGCAACUGACGCUGAGGAGCGAAAGCAUGGGGAGCGAACAGGAUUAGAUACCCUGGUAGUCCAUGCCGUAAACGUUGGGCACUAGGUGUGGGGCUCAUUCCACGAGUUCCGUGCCGCAGCAAACGCAUUAAGUGCCCCGCCUGGGGAGUACGGCCGCAAGGCUAAAACUCAAAGAAAUUGACGGGGGCCCGCACAAGCGGCGGAGCAUGCGGAUUAAUUCGAUGCAACGCGAAGAACCUUACCAAGGCUUGACAUACACCGGAAAAGUGCAGAGAUGUGCUCCCCGCAAGGUCGGUGUACAGGUGGGUGCAUGGUUGUCGUCAGCUCGUGUCGUGAGAUGUUGGGUUAAGUCCCGCAACGAGCGCAACCCUUCGUCCUAUGUUGCCAG
Molecule: ribosomal RNA, 1048 nt
Filed under: Cellulomonas cellasea
Lineage: Bacteria; Bacillati; Actinomycetota; Actinomycetes; Micrococcales; Cellulomonadaceae
Description: bacterial SSU rRNA
Rfam family: Bacterial small subunit ribosomal RNA
Source: RNAcentral